Molecule: ribosomal RNA, 206 nt
Filed under: uncultured soil bacterium
Lineage: Bacteria
Description: partial 16S ribosomal RNA
Rfam family: Bacterial small subunit ribosomal RNA
Source: RNAcentral
AGAACGAACGCUGGCGGCAUGCCUAACACAUGCAAGUCGAACGAGACCUUCGGGUCUAGUGGCGCACGGGUGCGUAACGCGUGGGAACCUGCCCUUAGGUUCGGAAUAACUCCCCGAAAGGGGUGCUAAUACCGGAUAAUGUCUUCGGACCAAAGAUUUAUUGCCUAUGGAUGGGCCCGCGUUGGAUUAGCUAGUUGGUGGGUAAA